RNAcentral lists this ribosomal RNA (375 nucleotides) under uncultured Glomeromycotina. Its description in RNAcentral is "LSU rRNA". Lineage: Eukaryota; Fungi; Glomeromycota. The record is from RNAcentral.
UUGAAAGGGAAACGAUUGAAGUCAGUCGUACCAGCGGGAAAUCAACCUUUCGAGUGGGGGUUUUGGAGUUUUGAAGAGUUUCAAAACCUUUGAGAUUUCAAAAAUUUCGCUCUUUUGGUGUACUUUCUCGUGGGUAGGUUAACAUCGAUUUUGAUCAUCAUAAAAAGAUUGGAGGAAUGUAGCUUCGAUCUUGUAUUGAAGUGUUAUAGCCUUUGGUAAAUGUGAUGAUUAGGAUCGAGGAUUGCAACGAAUACCCUUUUGGGCUAUCCGCCUGAUCUCUGAUACGUGGCCUUGGCAUCGAAAGCUUGCUUAUGGUAUCAAGGUAUUACGGUCAAAAGGUUAGAACGGAUUACAUUCGUUAAGGAUGUUGACGUA